Molecule: ribosomal RNA, 758 nt
Filed under: uncultured bacterium
Lineage: Bacteria
Description: bacterial SSU rRNA
Rfam family: Bacterial small subunit ribosomal RNA
Source: RNAcentral
AGCGGCGAACGGGUGAGUAACACGUGGGCAACCUGCCCCUCAGUUAGGAAUAACCCCGCGAAAGCGGGGCUAAUACCAGGUGGCGUCCCCUGGGGGCAUCCUCGGGGGACCAAAGGGGGCGAGCGAAAGCAGCUCUCGCUGAGGGAUGGGCCUGCGGCUGAUUAGCUAGUUGGUAGGGUAACGGCCUACCAAGGCGACGAUCAGUAGCCGACCUGAGAGGGUGACCGGCCACACUGGGACUGAGACACGGCCCAGACUCCUACGGGAGGCAGCAGUGGGGAAUAUUGCGCAAUGGGCGAAAGCCUGACGCAGCGACGCCGCGUGGGUGAUGAAGGCCUUCGGGUCGUAAAACCCUGUCGGGUGGAACGAACCUCCGCCUUUCUAAUACAGGGGCGGACUGACGGUACCACCGAAGGAAGCCCCGGCUAACUACGUGCCAGCAGCCGCGGUAAUACGUAGGGGGCGAGCGUUGUUCGGAUUUACUGGGCGUAAAGAGCGCGUAGGCGGUUCGAUCAGUCGGAGGUGAAAUCCCUCGGCUCAACCGAGGACCCGCGUCCGAUACUGUCGAACUUGAGUGCAGGAGAGGAGAGCGGAAUUCCCAGUGUAGCGGUGAAAUGCGUAGAUAUUGGGAGGAACACCGGUGGCGAAGGCGGCUCUCUGGACUGCUACUGACGCUGAGGCGCGAAAGCUAGGGGAGCAAACGGGAUUAGAUACCCCGGUAGUCCUAGCCGUAAACGAUGGGCACUAGGUGUGGGAGG